GACGAACGCUGGCGGCGUGCUUAACACAUGCAAGUCGAACGGAAAGGCCCUGCUUUUGUGGGGUGCUCGAGUGGCGAAGGGGUGAGUAACACGUGAGUAACCUGCCCUUGACUUUGGGAGAACUUCAGGAAACUGGGGCUAAUACCGGAUAGGAGCUCCUGCUGCAUGGUGGGGGUUGGAAAGUUUCGGCGGUUGGGGAUGGACUCGCGGCUUAUCAGCUUGUUGGUGGGGUAGUGGCUUACCAAGGCUUUGACGGGUAGCCGGCCUGAGAGGGUGACCGGCCACAUUGGGACUGAGAUACGGCCCAGACUCCUACGGGAGGCAGCAGUGGGGAAUAUUGCACAAUGGGCGGAAGCCUGAUGCAGCAACGCCGCGUGCGGGAUGACGGCCUUCGGGUUGUAAACCGCUUUCGCCUGUGACGAAGCGUGAGUGACGGUAAUGGGUAAAGAAGCACCGGCUAACUACGUG
This 468-nucleotide ribosomal RNA is filed under the name uncultured bacterium. RNAcentral's name for it is "partial 16S ribosomal RNA". It matches the Rfam family "Bacterial small subunit ribosomal RNA", at positions 28 to 507 of the family's 1533-position model. The record is from RNAcentral.